Molecule: RNase P RNA, 358 nt
Filed under: Parabacteroides sp. OttesenSCG-928-G21
Lineage: Bacteria; Pseudomonadati; Bacteroidota; Bacteroidia; Bacteroidales; Tannerellaceae
Description: RNase P RNA component class A
Rfam family: Bacterial RNase P class A
About the family: Ribonuclease P (RNase P) is a ubiquitous endoribonuclease, found in archaea, bacteria and eukarya as well as chloroplasts and mitochondria.
Source: RNAcentral
ACAGUCUGCCGGUCUGUCGCUCGCAGUAAUGCGGGAGGAAAGUCCGGGCAACACAGAGCACCAUACUUCCUAACGGGAAGCCGUCUGUGAAGGCAGAGUAGCGUAACAGAAAAUAACCGCCUUGCUUGCAGGGUAAGGGUGAAAAGGUGAGGUAAGAGCUCACCGGGUUCCGUAGUGAUAUGGAAUGCCGUACGCCUUAUGGGUUGUAAGGUCAUGUAUACCGGCGCAUGUAGGAUUGCUCGUCCGAUGCCGGGGGGUAGACCGCUAAAGCUUAUUGGCAACAAUAAGACGAGAUAAAUGGCAGGCACUUCUUAAAAAAUGUGAAGAACAGAACCCGGCUUACAGGCAGACUGUUUUC